This 7824-nucleotide long non-coding RNA is filed under the name Medicago truncatula (barrel medic). RNAcentral describes it as "long non-coding RNA (MTRU_LNC000270)". The record is from RNAcentral. Lineage: Eukaryota; Viridiplantae; Streptophyta; Magnoliopsida; Fabales; Fabaceae.
GGCAAAAGAAUUCAAUGACAGUACAUUAUUAAUGAGAAGUGAAUUUUAAAUAUACAUCAUAUAAUAUCAUGAGUACAAUAUUAAUUAUUUAUAUAACUCAUGUAAUUUUUCUUGUUAAAACAAGAAACUACAAAUAAAGGAGAAUCAAGUACCAAUAUAAAUGUCUCAAACUAAAAAAAGUACCAAAAUAAAUAAAUAAAUGUCGAUUGCUCUAGUCUCUUCAUAAGAAAUGGAUGACUACAAACGUGAGAGAUAAGAGUUAGUAGGGAAAUGAUAUACUACAAUUGGAGCUCCCUUUGAUUUUUCCUUACUCUUUUGUUUCUCUAAAGAUGAAGAUUUCAAUUUAGAUGAUUUUUCAUCAUAAUCAGAAACUUGAGAUGAUGAGUUUGAAGAAUGGCCAAAGCAACUUAAAAUGGAUGAAAUCAAAGCCAUAAAAAAAGUGAUUUAAUUUGCACUUUGAAGUGGGUUUUUUGUUUAUGUAAGUGUGCAAAGCUGAAAUGAUUUAGUUGUGGGUUGAACUUCAUGUAAUUAAUAACUUGAUCUAUUUAUAGAGUUAUCAUUUCAUAUCAUAUGAGAUAUGAUGAUAGUCAAAUUGCUUGGCGACCAAGCAGAACCUAAAUGGGACCACUUUGAAAAAAAUUCAUUUGUGGCUGCUUUGGACACUUGUUAAUCUCGUACAUGUUGCUUCGUUUGUCCUUUUCAAAGCUAUGUUUGGGAAUAUUCGGUUUUGCUGCUCUAGCGAAAUUCUACCUACAGUACACACUUUUUGAUCUUGGUCACAGGUUGAACGGUUAAGAUUGAAACAUGUGUUUUUUAAUUAAAACAAUCACAACCAUACAAUUUUGAUCAGACAACCAAUAUUAAUUACAACACUCUGUUGUAAUAGCAGGGAAUCCUAUUCCCUUUAUUUGGUGCAUGGAACAGAUGCCUGGCUUGGGGAGGAACUAGUCGUGGUCUUAGCCUAUAUUUUGUAUCCGAUAAAUAUGUUAAAAUAAUGGCGACCCAUCGUUCAAGGCCAACAAUGGUCUCCCCCUAGUUUUAGGUCGGGGAGGACCAGUUGGUUGACGCUCAAUUCACAUGAAGAAGUUUGAUAUCCCACCAGUGAUGACGUUGGCCGUAGGAAACGGUUCCCAUGUACAUGAAUAUGGAGUUAUAUCCACAUGCUCCACGAAUUCAUCCAGCUGCUCUACGGACAUAGCGACCACUAUGUCCUUAUUUUUCUUGUCGGUGAUUAAUUUGACGGUCUGCUUCUCAGGCUCGGGGUUCUUGGUCAACUGAUUGAGCCGACCUCGUUGUAUGAGGAUUUCAAUGGUAUCCUUCAGAUGGAUGCAGUCAUCAGUCAAGUGUCUAUGACACUUGUGGAAUCGGCAAUACUUUGUUUUAUCGGUUCCCUUAUUUUCUUGAGUAGGAGUUUUUGGCGGGUUUGAUCCCAACUUCUUUCAGAUCGGUAAUUGCAAUCUAAGCUAGGAUUUUUUUUCCCUGGACAACGCCAAGGACAUGUAUUCCGUGAAGCGACCGACGGGUCCCUCGCCUUCACGGGCAGGCUUUCCUUCCUUCUUUUUCUCUUGGAAUGGCUUUUUGGAAGAUUCAAAAGCAUGUUCUUCCUUCCUGGAUUUGUUGAGGCUGUCUGUGUGUAGCUCCUCCUCGUACCGUAUGUACGUCUUGGCGAUCGCUAGGAACUCAUUUAGAGUCCUUGGACGAUCGAGCUGGACAACCUUUUUCAUGUAUGUGUCUGCACGUAGAACUUUUGCAAUGAGAUACUUUUUCAUUAACUCGUCAGCACCUCGUACUUGCACAAUUUCUUUAUUGAACCUCUCGAUGUAAUCUCUGAUAGGUUAGCUCUUCCCUUGCGCUAUAGCUUCGAGGUACACCAUAGUUUUGAGUUGGGUCCUUGAAGCAGUGAAAUGAGCAGUGAACUCAUGGCACAUAUCGUCCAAUGAGUCAAUAUAAUUCAUCCUUAGGUUCUUGAACCUUGUCAUGGCUCCUCGUCGUAGGGUGGUAACGAAGAGCUUACAUUUCACGGCGCCCCGCACGUGUCUGUACGUGAGGACAACCUCAAUGUUCUCGAUAUGCUCGUCCGGAUCGAUCGUCUCGUCAUAAGAGCUCAAAUUUUCGAAUUAUUGUUUAAAUAGAAGAUUUGGCAAAAGAAUUCAAUGACACAGUACAUUAUUAAUAAGAAGUGAAUUUUAAAUAUACAUCAUAUAAUAUCAUGAUAGUAUACAAAUUAAAGAAAAUCAAAUACCAAUAUAAAUGUCUCAAACUAAAAAUGUACCAAAAUAAAUAAAUAAAUGUCGAUUGCUCUAGUCUCUUGAUAAGAAAGUGGAUGCAGAUUAAUACUGCAUGACUACAAACGUGAGAGAUAAGAGUUAACAGGGAAAUAAGAAACUACAAUUGGAGCUCUCUUUGAUUUUUCUUUGCUCUUUUGUUUCUCUAAAGAUGAAGAUUUCAAUUUAGAUGAUUUUUCAUCAUAAUCAGAAACUUGAGAUGAUGAGUCUAAAGAAUGGCCAAAGCAACUUAAGAAGGAUGAAAUCAAAGCCAUCAAAAAGUGAUUUAAUUUGCACUUUGAAGAGGGUUUUCUGUUUAUGUAAGUGUGGAAAGCUGAAAUGAUUUAGUUGUAGGUUGAACUUCAUGUAGUUAACUUGAUCUAUUUAUAGAUAUCAUAUGAGAUAUGAUAAUAGUCAAAUUGCUUGGUGACCAAGGAAAACAUAAAGGGACCACUUUGGAAAAAAAAAUAAAAAAAAUAAUUUGUGGCUGCUUUGAACACUUGUUAAUUAGAAUCAAAAUGUUGUUUCGUUUGUCUUUUUCAUUGCUUAUUUGGUGCCUGCAAUAUGGUUAUGAGGAACAAGUCAAGGUCUAAGUAUGAUUGACCAUCGCCAAACAAUUUUCUUUAAGAGAGUACAUCAAGUAUUAUUUAUACAUUGUUGAUAUUAUACUACUAACUUACGUUACAUCGGACCUGGAUCCUCUGCUGUAACCGCUUUAUGCAGUUUCACGCAGUGGUUAAUCUCAGCCAUAAAACAUUGAUCUAACAGUUCAUAUUUGUUCUGCUAAUUUUCACACAGUUUAAUUUCAGCCACUUAUUGUUGAUCGGACGGGUCACACGCCUUACAACAUCAUGCUGUUACAGCAGGAAAUCUACUUCCAACUAACGUCUACUAUCUUAGAAUUGUACUACACUAUUGUGACUUGUACUACAAGUUACUACUAUCUCAUUUCAUUUGUUUUCUUCAUGGUGCAAUACAUGGAACUAAAAGUAAAAAAAGUAAGAUGAACAAUUAUUGCACAAAUAAAGUUUGAAUGAUAGAGCAAAUAAUUAAAUACGUUCUUGAGUUAUGUAAAAUAAUAAUAAUUGAUUUUGUCAAAUUUUACUCAUAUGGGUCAUUCUAAGAGUCAAAGAUCAAAUUUUAUGAUAAGUUAAUAAUUAAAUAAGAGUCAAAGAUCAAAUUUUAUGAUAAGUUAAUAAUUAAAUUGUAGAUAAGUGGUUAAAUAUAGAGAUCAACUUGAUGAUUAAUGGCGUCAAACACAUUUUUAAAAUAUUUAUGAUCUCAAACUUAUUUGAGGGUGCCUUACAAAGUUAAAGACUAGCUUGAUGAUUUAGUUAUUAUACUAGGCCACAUUUAGGAUAAUAUUAAAAGAAUUUUUAGGGAGUAUUCCACAACUCGACACGUACCAUCCAGUCCUUGUAGUAACCGUCAACUAUGGAUUUAGAGCGGGUAUAUCAAGAGACAAAUGUAUUUAGAGACGGAUUCAGAGACAAAUGUAUUUAGAGGUGAAAUUUGAGAUGGAAGAUGAAUGUUUUCGUUAAUAACUCAUGAAAUGUAUUUAAUAACCAAUUACAGUCAUUAACACAAAGGUAAAAUCAGUUAAAUCUAAUCUAUGGUGGUUUUUAUCAUAUAUUAACGGUUCUUUUUUCCACUUACCAUGGUCUAAAUAUAAAACGUGCAAUUUUGACCCCUUAACUUUAUUUCCUUUGGAUUUACCACCUCCAACUUGGCAAAUUGAGGUAAUAUCGAUUUUUUUUUUUACACUUAGCAUGGUCUAAAUGGACAAGGUGAAAAUUAGUUAUUAUUAAAAUAAAAAAUGUUUUCCUAGGCAACACGUACCCAUUGUUCCAACCCAUCCUGUUGAAAAUAUAUUUUUUCAAAUUUGAUGAUUGAAGGUUCGACAUAAAUUGUGGCAUGAUUUGGUAAAACUGGGGCAUGAUUUUGGUUAAGAAUUUUAAGUCUGUCUCGACAAUUUUCGUAGCACGAAGAGGUGAAAUUUCGUGACACGAUUUUGUGUAUGGGGGUGUACGUGGGCUAGUUUGGGUUGGGUUUGGCCAAACCCAGAACCUAAACCAUAUAGGGUGCUCCAGUUUGGGUGAGGUAAAAUAAACAUCCAUUAUACCAUUGUGUUGGUUUGGGCAAACCCGUUAAUUUCUGGGUUGGGUUGGAUUGGGUAAUGGGUUACCCAACUUAUUUUUUCUUUUUUUUUAGUAGAAAAUUGCAUUUUUGACAUAAAAAACUUCAUAAAGACACAAGUAAAAUAAUUUAUUGCCCCUAACGGUAGUUAACUAUCGUUGGUAUAACCGCCGACAGUUAACUGCCGCUGUGACUCAGCGGUUGUUAACUGCCGUUGCUUUUUCCCCCCCAAAACCAGAAAAGCCAUACCUCAUAUUCACUUAUCACCUUACCAUUCCACAAAAAAUCCCCAUUUCAAAAAUCUUUUGUCAAAAUCUUUGUUUCAAAUCAUUGCUGAUCGAUUGCUAGGACGUUUCUACGCACAAUAUGCAUCAAAUAACAUGUAUUUCAACGUUAAACACCAUUACAUUUGAUUGAUUUUUGCUGUUUUUUUUUUCUACUGUCACGAGAUUUAGCGGCAGUUAACUACCGUUGGGAGUGAGUGGCUAUUAACUGCCGCGGGAUACUUAGAAAAUUUUCAAAUGGCAGUGCCACUGGCAAAAAAAAAAAAAAAAAAAAAAUUCAAUUUUUUUUUCCUUUUGUUUUUUUUUGUUUGUUUAUGUUAUUAUAUGAUAUUAGAUACAUGUUUAUUAAUUAGUUUACAAAUUAUAUGUUGUUUAUUUAUAGAUGCAGAUGAUGAUCCGGGUGAUCGAAAAUCUAGUGUUGUCGAUUCCGUUAAGGUUGAAGCUCCCAUUAAGUUCGAAGCUUCUGUGAAGAUUUAAGCUUCCGUUAAAGUAGAGGCUUCAAGCGUCAAUUCCGAUGUGUGUAAACUUCGUGACAACGAAGUGGACACGGCUCAUUUCUUUUCGACACGAGAUACAUGGAAAGAUAAAGAGGAAUUGCUCGGUUGGGUCCGUCAACAAGCAAAAGGGAUGGAUUUAUGGUUAUCAUUAGAAGAUCUUGUGAAGGUAGAAAUGCUAUGUUGGAGUUGGUUUGUGAACGAGCGGCGAACACAAAGUACCAAAUAGAAAAGUGAAGCAUGAAGCAACGAGAUCAAGAAAAUGUGGGUGUUUGUUCAAGGUGCGUGGAUAUGUCGUGAGGGAAAAGAAUGCUUGGAAAUUGACCAUUCUUAAUGGCGUUCACAACCAUGAGAUGGUGCGGUAUGUAGCAGGGCACCUUCUUGCCGGAAGAUUAAUGGAGGAUGACAAGAAGAUUGUACAUGGAGAGCCAGCCAAAGUUGUCGGAGAUUUGCAGUUUAGGACCGUUGGUUUUUCAAUUAUUUUACUUAUGGUUUUUCAAUUAUUUUACUUAUGUAUAUAUAUAAGUAAAAUAGGGAAAUUGGGGUCAAUCAUUUUCAGAAUUUUUACACUCGAAUUAUCUAAAUCAUUGAGAGAAAAGAGUAACAAGAAUGUAUAUACAUUGUUUGAUGAACCAUUUUUAUUAAAUGCAAUGCAAGUUUAUUUCCUUUAAACUUUCUUACUUUUACCUUUGAAGUUUAAGUAUUCUUUUAAAAGUCCUAAAAUAUUGUUUAAUUGUGUCGAAUUAAACUUUGAUCUUCAUCUUCUUCAUGUUUCAUCUCAAGAACAUGAUGAAUAUUCAAACAUUUUUUGAAAAAACAUUACACAUCAUGUCCUAGAAUUUUUAGUUUAAUCGUGCAAGUAACAUUUUAAAACUAGCGUCUUAUUUAUCGGAAACAAUUAUAAACAAUUGGCAUGUCUAGAGGAACAUUCUUGUGCAAUUUUUUGGAAAGAAAAUUCCAUUGGUUGAAAAAUUUUUCUAAGAGUGUUGAUAAGACUUCUUUCAUAAACUAAUUUCUGGGAAAGUUUUUUCAAGUGUGUCGAUAGAUUUUUUUAAGAAGGUUUUCAUUUGUGUAUGCGUUUAAGAAGUGACAAUGUCCUUCCAAAAAUGGCUCGUCCUAAUUCAACAAAUAAUUCAUCUGCAUCAAAUACACAAAGUAACGUUCAAACCACGCAAAAACAAUCAACCCAGACGCCAGUUUCGACAGUUAGAUGCGUCAAUGUGUCAACUGCUAUGGGAGUAACUUAUCCCGUGUCAUUUUCAACGGUUAGUGACGCCGAUGUUUUUUUUUCCUGAGUUGGGACAGGAGUUGUAGCUCUGCUCUUUGCUUACAUACGCUCAGUAGGCCACUGGUAGCUAUUAACAACUAUAGAUUCUACAAGAUCAUAACACUCUUUAUAGGACUUUCUCAAUAGUGCACCUCCUGAAGAGGCAUCUACCAUAAGAUUUGUUGAUGGAACAAACCCAUUGUAAAAGGUUUUCAUUUGAAUGCAUACACGUAUCCCAUGAUGAGGACACCUUCUCAACAGAUCUUUAAACCUUUCCCAUCCUUCAAAGACUGUGUUUCUUCAUUUGUUUGCCUGAAAGAGUUUAUCUCAUUCCUCUUUCGAGCAUUGGAGGAAAAUGUUUGACUAAGAACUUCUCAUCAAGUUCUCUUUAUUUGUUGUCACAAUUUUUAAGAUAAGAUUUUCAUUUUAAAUUUCUUAACAACGUCCUUAGAGCACUUGUUAACAUUUUUCUUAAAAUUAUGCUUGUUACAUAAGAACAGGUACAACUUCAACUACUUAAAUAAUUCAUAUCAAGAGCCCAGAGGUGGUUCUAAGAUUUCCAAUUAAUUAUUUGCUUUAGUUUGCAUACAAUCUUUUUCGAAUUAUUGUUUAAAUAGAAGAUUUGGAUGAAGAAUUCAAUGAUUGUAAAUGAUUAAUGAAGUGAAUUCCAAAUAUACAUAUCAUCAUAUAAUAUCAUGAUAGUACAACAAUAUUAACUAUUUAUACAACUCAUGUAAUUUUUCUCGUUAAAACAAGAAACUACAAAUAAAAGAAAAUCAAGUACCAAUAUAAAUGUCUCAAACUAAAAAAAGUACCAAAAUAAAUAAAUAAAUGUCGAUUGCUCUAGUUUCUUCAUAUUGGAUGACUACAAACGAGAGAGAUAAGAGUUAGCAGGGAAAUGAUAUACUACAAUUGGAGCUCCCUUUGAUUUUUCCUUACUCUUUUGUUUCUCUAAAGAUGAAGAUUUCAAUUUAGAUGAUUUUUCAUCAUAAUCAGAAACUUGAGACGAUGAGUCUAAAGAAUGGCCAAAGCAACUUAAGAAGGAUGAAAUCAAAGCCAUAAAAAAAGUGAUUUAAUUUGCACUUUGAAGUGGGUUUCUUGUUUAUGUAAGUGUGGAAAGCUGAAAUGAUUUAGUUGUGGGUUGAACUUCAUGUAAUUAACUUGAUCCAUUUAUAGACAUCAUAUCAUAUCAUAUGAGAUAGGAUGGGAUGAUAGUCAAAUUGCUUGGCGACCAAGGAGAACAUAAAUGGGACCACUUUGAAAAAAAAAUUCAUUUGUGGCUGCUUUGGACACGUGUUUGAAAAUCUCAUUUGAAUGCAUACAUGACUUAAUCAUCAAGUCAUGUAUUCUACAUGUUGUUUCCUCUGUCCUUUUCAAAG